UGCCGCCUAUUUGCCUCUCGAGCGCCGUUUAGUUUCCUGGGGCCUCGGGACUUCCUAUAUAAGCGGAAGAUUAAUCCAGCCUACCGUACGAUAUCUUCGCUGCGGUAUUUUCUGCCGCAGCGGAGGUUGCGGUGCUGUACACUG
Drosophila melanogaster (fruit fly) is the source of this 144-nucleotide small nucleolar RNA. The record is from Ensembl. Lineage: Eukaryota; Metazoa; Arthropoda; Insecta; Diptera; Drosophilidae.